This 252-nucleotide ribosomal RNA is filed under the name uncultured bacterium. Its description in RNAcentral is "partial 16S ribosomal RNA". It matches the Rfam family "Bacterial small subunit ribosomal RNA", at positions 524 to 776 of the family's 1533-position model. The record is from RNAcentral.
UACGAAGGGGGCUAGCGUUGUUCGGAUUUACUGGGCGUAAAGCGCACGUAGGCGGGUCGUUAAGUCAGGGGUGAAAUCCCGGAGCUCAACUCCGGAACUGCCUUUGAUACUGGCGACCUUGAGGCUGGAAGAGGUUAGUGGAAUUCCCAGUGUAGAGGUGAAAUUCGUAGAUAUUGGGAAGAACACCAGUGGCGAAGGCGGCUAAUGGUCCAGAUCUGACGCUGAGGUGCGAAAGCGUGGGGAGCAAACAGG